This 1122-nucleotide unclassified non-coding RNA is filed under the name Hevea brasiliensis (rubber tree). Lineage: Eukaryota; Viridiplantae; Streptophyta; Magnoliopsida; Malpighiales; Euphorbiaceae. The record is from RNAcentral.
CCCGGCCAUUAUUUUGCACCCAAAAACCCAUUUUCCACAAAAAUCCUGACCUUCCACUCUACAUUGCUGCAUUGCUUGAGCUUGAGCCUGAGCCUGCAAUCAUGGCGUUGCUAGAGCAAAAGAACGUGGCGGAUGUGAAUAAUGUGAAUACAGGCACCGAAAUCCCUCCCAAUGUCACCAUUUACAUCAACAAUCUCAACGAGAAAAUCAAAAUCGAUGAAUUGAAAAAAUCACUCCACGCGGUGUUCUCUCAAUUCGGGAAGAUUUUGGAGAUUUUGGCAUUCAAGACGCUGAAACACAAAGGGCAAGCUUGGGUUGUUUUCGAGGAUGCUCAAUCAGCAACUAAUGCUAUGAGGCAAAUGCAAUCUUUCCCCUUUUAUGACAAGCCCAUGAGAAUACAAUUUGCAAAAACUAAAUCAGAUAUCAUUGCGAAAGCUGAUGGCACUUUUGUUCCAAGGGAAAAACGAAAGAGGCACGAAGAGAAAGGAAAAAAGAAGAAAGAGCAGCAUGAUGCUAAUCAAGCUGGGAUUGGUCUGGCUCCUGCUUAUGCUGGUGCCUAUGGUGCAACUCCUCCGUUAUCACAAAUACCCUAUCCAGGUGGUGCAAAAUCUAUGGNNNNCUCCUGAGGCUCCAGCUCCACCAAACAAUAUACUCUUUAUUCAAAAUCUUCCGAAUGAGACAACUCCAAUGAUGCUGCAAAUGUUAUUCCAGCAGUACCCUGGAUUUAAGGAGGUUAGGAUGGUGGAAACAAAGCCAGGGAUUGCCUUUGUAGAGUACGGAGAUGAGAUGCAGUCAACAGUUGCAAUGCAUGGACUUCAGGGUUUCAAGAUACAGCAAAAUUCAAUGUUAAUUACCUAUGCCAAGAAAUAGUUAACGAUGCUUCUGUCUUUUGCUAUAUACAGGAUGCACGGCAAUUAGGAACUNACUAGAAUAUUCUAAACUAGUGACUGCUUAUUCCAUGUAUCUAUUGUUUUUGGAUUGACGGGAAGUGAUGAUGUUCAGCCUAGGAGUUUUCGUGUAUCAUUAUGGUUAAAUGGUGACUUUCUUCAGUACUUUAUUCGCUUCUGAAAAUUGAUUAGCAUAGUAAAUUGAGGAAUUAAAGUGUAUUUUACCUUUUUUUUU